CAGUUGGAAGCAGCAGUCCGGGGAGCUGCUGACUUGUAGCAGCAACUGUGGAUGAAGGAUCCUUAAUCGGGAGCUUUGGUUCGUAUUCCCAUUUCCAACACAGCCUCCAGAGACCACGGGUGUGUGCAUAACUUGGGAAGAGGAAAGGCUCCACAGGUGAGAUGGAGAAGCUGCACAGCCAAAUCACUGAAACCCAAAGAAUUAAUCAGGUGAAGUUACACUGUGAGCAGCACCCAAGCCUUGAUUACAGCCUGUCAUCAAGGAAACCACAGAACUUGGACAAAAAAAAAAAAAUAUUACAAGAGGCUUAGCAUUUAAUGCUCUAAAGUAGUAAAUCCACAGCAAAUCCUCCUGAAUCUAAAUAUGCCUAAGACAUAUUUUAACUUAUUUUUUAAAGUUUUCUCGAAUGCCAUCUUACACUCCCAAACUAAGCUCCACUGUUGCUUUUGCUUUCUCAGUAGUAUGCAAAUCGGGUUACAUCCCAUGCCUCGAGUGCCCUUUUGGCAUCCCAAAAGCUCCUUCCAAUAAACAAGUCCACAUGCACCUUGGGAUCACCUUCUGGCUUAUUUCUCCUAAGACUGGUGUGAAAGCUCAACUUGGUCAAAAGCCUGCCUGGGUUUUUGGCAAAACCAAGGAUGUCAAUGGAAAACAACCCCAGUCCACACGGGAAGAAAAUAAUCCCAGUUUUAACAUGAAAUGGAAGUUUUACCAAUGCCUCUGGACCAAAAGAAAACAAGCAGCUUUUACAUCACUUACUUCCACAAGAGAAUUCCCACUGCAAACUGAUGGAGCUCCUACAGAUUCUGGAUAGGAAGAGGAGAGCCACACACAGCAAAUACACGCGGAGCAGCCGUCCCUUCCCUUCCGAGCCAGGCAAGUAAACACCUGACCACGCUACAUCCCUGGAAACACGGUGCUCUACUGGCAGACAGGGAAAAACAGCCUUUAAAAAACGAAAACAAGCUCUAUCAGUAAAAGUGCACUUCUGCAGAUAAACUGCUCCUGCAGCUGGGACUUCUGCUGGCACAGCUCUGUCGGUCACGGGUCACACUCCGGCACCGCGCGCGCAGACAGAGCUGUGCCAGCAGAAGUUUGCCGUGCAAACCUGGGGGGAAACUCGGGAGCCGCUAACGUGGAUCUGCAAAGGCCUGUGUUUUUCCAACAGUCUGACCAUGAGGAGCCUGUCUUACCCCUGGCACGUGAAUCUCUUGCUUCCAAGCACAGAAGAAAACUGGACUUCACACGGGAACACGGCAGUGCCUCUGAGCCAUUUACACUGCACUUUAUCCUUCAAUUAAAUACACAAACUGAGCGAGGAAGAGCCCCCGUAGGAAGGGAAGAUAAAAGGGAAUAAAUUAAGUUGUGCUGUACUUCA
This 1375-nucleotide long non-coding RNA is filed under the name Manacus vitellinus (golden-collared manakin). RNAcentral's name for it is "lncRNA (ENSMVIG00005006316.1)". Lineage: Eukaryota; Metazoa; Chordata; Aves; Passeriformes; Pipridae. The record is from RNAcentral.